Molecule: ribosomal RNA, 119 nt
Filed under: Pteropus alecto (black flying fox)
Lineage: Eukaryota; Metazoa; Chordata; Mammalia; Chiroptera; Pteropodidae
Source: RNAcentral
GUCUAUGGCAAUGCCACCCUGAUCAGGCUCUAUCCCAUCUGAUCUUGGAAGCUAAACAUGGUCGAGCCUGGUUAGUACUUGGAUGGGAGACCACCUAGGAAGACCAGGUGCUGUAGGCG